RNAcentral lists this ribosomal RNA (329 nucleotides) under uncultured eukaryote. RNAcentral's name for it is "partial 18S ribosomal RNA". It matches the Rfam family "Eukaryotic small subunit ribosomal RNA", at positions 1470 to 1796 of the family's 1831-position model. The record is from RNAcentral.
CCCUUAGAUGUUCUGGGCCGCACGCGCGCUACACUGAUGCAUUCAACGAGUCUAAAACCUGCUCUGAUAGGGGUGGGUAAUCUUUUGAAUGUGCAUCGUGAUUGGGAUAGAUGAUUGCAAUUUUUCAUCUUCAACGAGGAAUGCCUAGUAAACGCAAGUCAUCAGCUUGCAUUGAUUACGUCCCUGCCCUUUGUACACACCGCCCGUCGCUCCUACCGAUUGAAUGAUCCGAUGAAUAUCAUGGGUUGAGGAUGCAAGUAGGUUCGCCUAUCUUCAUCUUCGAGAAGUGAAGUAAAUCUUAUCACUUAGAGGAAGGAGAAGUCGUAACA